RNAcentral lists this ribosomal RNA (556 nucleotides) under uncultured bacterium. Its description in RNAcentral is "bacterial SSU rRNA". It matches the Rfam family "Bacterial small subunit ribosomal RNA", at positions 338 to 885 of the family's 1533-position model. The record is from RNAcentral.
CCUACGGGAGGCAGCAGUGGGGAAUUUUGGACAAUGGGGGCAACCCUGAUCCAGCCAUUCCGCGUGAGUGAAGAAGGCCUUCGGGUUGUAAAGCUCUUUCAGCUGGAACGAAACGGUACAUCCUAAUACGGUGUGCUAAUGACGGUACCAGCAGAAGAAGCACCGGCUAACUACGUGCCAGCAGCCGCGGUAAUACGUAGGGUGCGAGCGUUAAUCGGAAUUACUGGGCGUAAAGCGUGCGCAGGCGGAUUGUUAAGCAAGAUGUGAAAUCCCCGGGCUUAACCUGGGAAUGGCAUUUUGAACUGGCAGUCUAGAGUGUGUCAGAGGGGGGUGGAAUUCCACGUGUAGCAGUGAAAUGCGUAGAGAUGUGGAGGAACACCAAUGGCGAAGGCAGCCCCCCGGGAUAACACUGACGCUCAUGUACGAAAGCGUGGGUAGCAAACAGGAUUAGAUACCCUGGUAGUCCACGUCCUAAACGAUGUCAACUGGUUGUUGGGGGAGUGAAAUCCCUUAGUAACGAAGCUAACGCGUGAAGUUGACCGCCUGGGGAGUACGG